AUACGGAGGAUCCGAGCGUUAUCCGGAUUUAUUGGGUUUAAAGGGUGCGCAGGCGGCCAUUUAAGUCAGCGGUUAAAUCGUGGGGCUCAACCCCAUUCUGCCGUUGAUACUGGGUGGCUUGAUUGCGGUCGAGGUUGGCGGAAUUCGUUGUGUAGCGGUGAAAUGCAUAGAUAUGACGAAGAACACCGAUUGCGUAGGCAGCUGACCAGACCGCAAAUGACGCUCAUGCACGAAAGUGCGGGGAUCGAACAGGAUUAGAUACCCUGGUAGUCCGCACAGUAAACGAUGAAUACUUGUUUUCGGCGAUAUAAUGUCGGAGGCAAAGCGAAAGCGAUAAGUAUUCCACCUGGGGAGUACGCCGGCAACGGUGAAACUUAAAUGAAUUGACGGGG
RNAcentral lists this ribosomal RNA (392 nucleotides) under uncultured bacterium. RNAcentral describes it as "partial 16S ribosomal RNA". It matches the Rfam family "Bacterial small subunit ribosomal RNA", at positions 523 to 918 of the family's 1533-position model. The record is from RNAcentral.